Molecule: ribosomal RNA, 550 nt
Filed under: uncultured eukaryote
Lineage: Eukaryota
Description: SSU rRNA
Rfam family: Eukaryotic small subunit ribosomal RNA
Source: RNAcentral
GUAGUCAUAUGCUUGUCUCAAAGAUUAAGCCAUGCAUGUCUAAGUAUAAGCAACUAUACAGUGAAACUGCGAAUGGCUCAUUAAAUCAGUUAUCGUUUAUUUGAUAGUACCCCACUACUUGGAUAACCGUGGUAAUUCUAGAGCUAAUACAUGCUAAAAAUCCCGACCUCCGGAAAGGAUGUAUUUAUUAGAUAAAAAACCAAUGCCCUCGGGCUUGUUGGUGAUUCAUGAUAACUAAACGAAUCGCAUGGCCUUGCGCCGGCGAUGGUUCAUUCAAAUUUCUGCCCUAUCAACUUUCGAUGGUAGGAUAGUGGCCUACCAUGGUUUCAACGGGUAACGGGGAAUUAGGGUUCUAUUCCGGAGAGGAAGCCUGAGAAACGGCUACCACAUCCAAGGAAGGCAGCAGGCGCGCAAAUUACCCAAUACCGACUCGGUGAGGUAGUGAUGAUAAAUACUGAUACAGGGCUCUUUUGGGUCUUGUAAUUGGAAUGAGUACAAUUUAAAUCCCUUAACGAGGAACAAUUGGGGGGCAAGUCUGGUGCCAGCAGCC